CAUUAGCUAAAGUAGUGCUUCAGGUUAAGAACAGGUUAAGAACAGACCUCCGGAACGAAUUAAGUACUUAACCCAAGGUACCACUGUAUUUGAUAAUUGGCUUUGUUUUUCAAAGUAAAGGCAGCAGGACCAGAGAAGGAAAAAAAGAAGUGCCAGUAUUGAAGUAGAAGGGUAAGAUACUGCAGAAGUAGUUUUGAAGUGCCAAGCAGGUACACCGGCCAUGGAUUUCAGAACAAACAUGGUUUGCCUAUUUCCAUGAUUUUAUCUGUAACAUAAAAGCUUAGAAAAUGAAAACCAACUUUGUCAGGGAUCCAAAUUCCCUGUUAAGAUUACUUGUUAAUGGAUACAAUUGUACACAUGUGUAAUAUGCUCUGUUCUACAAGUCAUCAAAUACAAUGCCAGUCCAGAUUAGCAAAACUCGUGUUCGUCAAAUCGAAAUAAAAUAUUUUUCAUUCUUCAAGGUCUCAUACCCUGAAGAUUUCAUCAAAGUGAGAAUGCAAUGCAGUUUAUAUAAGACUUCAGUUAAGACUUCAACAUGUUCUGUGAAGUUUUAUCCAGCCCACCUCCCAAAGGAGUCCAAGAUCAUCUGCCUUGGCAAACUGCAAUUAAAAUAGAGCUGUUUUAAAAGGGGUACAUCAAAAGAUCAGAACAUGAUUCCUAAACAUGCAGCGUGGAUCAUCUGACACAUGCUGAGUUAACUUCCAGCUCUGAAACUCAGCUGAGGUGAAACACAGCGGAGGGGAGUGAUGGCAAGGCGGCAAAACCUGCUCUAAAGACUGCUAUCCUAGGUGGCAACUCAAAUUCCUUAAGCAUCAUACAGGCUCUGUUAAACUGACAAAGGAGUUUCUCUGGAGUUCACACAUCCUCUUCAAGCAGUUGUGUGCCACUUGAGUACAUUGUGGCAAGUUUUUGUGGCGAGAACAGAAAUACCAAAUUCAUCCUUGUACACUGAAGUGCUGCACCAGUGACCCCUGCAGCCUCCAGGGCCUAGUGCACACUUCGCACCUCUGUUUUGUGCUCCACCAGAUGUCUUACAAACCUCAUUCCCACCAGGUAGGAGCCAACUACUACCUCAGAGGUUUCCAGUCUCUCAGCAUCUUAGAACAUACCAAAUCACAUUGACUUGAGCCACUGUAGGUUGCUCAACCUCUUGUGCCCUAUUCCAAGCUUGUACCACCAGGGGCAGCCUGAAGCAUUUUGGCACCUGAGGGAAAUACCCUGCUGCUGCCCCCAUGAUGGGGAGCAGGCAAACUCCAUAAGGGCGUCUUCUCAAGUGACUAACUUACCCCGCCUCAUAGGCAGGCCAGCUCUCUGCACAAUAAUACUUGUAGGAAGUCCCUUUGGUGAUCAGAAUAAUGGAACAUGGAACUCAGUUUUCCACCAUAUAAAGGGAAUGUAAUGGGGAAGGUAAAUUAUAUUCAGGAGCUUCAAAUAACCCUGUUAGGACAAACUAGGUGUUCAACAGCAGAUAAAGGUCUGGACAGCCAGUUGCUAAUUAAAAGCCGAAAACAAAAAGAGGGUACGAUUUGCAAGGGAGAAGUGGCAAGUAGGUGCGGGUGCUCAACCCUUUUCCUGCCCUGCACUUCCCUCUCUUCCUCAAACUGGGGUUGCUAAAUACACUGGGGUUGGGGCUGCAGUGAAGAAACAGCUGAGGAAGGAGGGGAAAGCUGCUAAACUCACAUCACCUACCUCUUCUCUCCUGCAACUUCCCUGCCCUGAAAAUUGCACUCCCCUCUGAAGUUGUUUUGAAGUAGCCAGAGUUCCAAUCCAGGUCUGCCAGUAAAUUCUUGUUCCCCUCUUAAGGUUAUCCACAGAUUCACAGAACACCAGGGAAAUUACACGCUCUACAAGUUACUUCAGUAAUCAAACUAGUUACGGUAUACUACCAUCAGAUAAAGCUGACAGUAAAUAACACCUGAAACAAAUGUAGAAAAUAUCCUUUGUUUGCAAAUUCAGAUGUUAAGUUUAUUUUUUUAAAGCAUUUGUGGAUUUCCUUCUUUUUCUCUAUAGAAACCAAGAACAUGUGCUCUGUUAUUAUAUAGAGAAAAGGAGAUGGGCCUACAGUGAACAAGAGAGAAGGAAGAAGAGAUGCGCAAUAUUUGUACAGAUAAAUGAAUAAGCUGGAGCAGGUUGGAUGCUGGUCCAUCAGGCUGAACCCUAGUAACAAAGAUACCCUAUAAGUCAGAAGUAACAGAGGUUAGGAAACUAUAACCAAGAACUAGGCUAAAGCUGCUGCCCAGGGGACCUCAAUCUUCCCUCCAACUGCUGGACCUGUGGCCUCUACUGGAUCCCCAGACCAAGAGGUCCUUGAGUUUUAAGAGGCUUUGGAGCUGAGAACAUACACCAGCAGUGGGGAGUGGGCAGGAAGCCUCAAGGCACAAGAGGCCUUCAAUUUGCACAAAGAGUACAUUCACAUGUCAUAGUAACCCAUAAACCAUGGCCUACUGUGCACAAGACCAUUCCUGGCAUUUUAUUCCUGUCUGCUAGCACUGUGGAGAUACAAAACACAACGGCUAGGCUUAGUGUUACAUCCUAAAAAGCAAGAGUUUUGCUCCCAACUACAACUGACAGCCAAGUUUUGUUCUUGGCUUGCUGACUGAUUGUGGUUGUUUGAACGAAACAAACCUCAAUCUCCAGUUCAAAUGUAAUGCUAAGACAGGGACCAUGGUUUGUUUUCUUUGUGCGCUCACAGGGAGGAGCAAAACAGUCCAGAUAGGCAUGUUCAUAGUAAACUAUUUCAGAACACCAGAGAGAAUUGAAGACCUCCAUACACAACCAUAAAGAAUCCAAAUUGACCAUUCAGAAUCGCCCAUAGACAGCACAAAGCGUGGUGUAGUGGUUAGAGUGCUGGAAAAGGACCUGGGAGAUCAGGGUUCAAAUCCCUGCUCAGCCCAGAAACUCACUGGGUGACCUUGGGCCACUAACAGUCUCUCAACCUAGCCUACCUCACAGGGUUGUUGUGAGGAUAGUAUGCCACCUUGAGUGCCUUGUGAUAUUGGAAGUAAUUAUGCCAAAGAAAGGAAGGGCAGACCACAACCCCAAGCCUGAUAUUAUUCUUUUUAUAAUAAAAAACAAUGCCUAUUGGUGCCCCCCCUCAUGCAGUAAUAUUGCCUGCUUAAAUGUCUGUAUUAUUUGGAAGCUGAGCAACUGAACAUCCCAAAUGGAAACUCAUCCUAUUAGAUCUGGGUCUGGAUUUGAUAGAACCCCAAGAGACUAGAAACAAAGCUUAUUUGCCUGAAACGUCCAAAAGAAGCAGCCUCAGAAUGGGUAGAAGCUACCAUUGCUGACACUCAAAAAAGGGGUAUAUGUAACUUCGGUUGUCAACACAGUAACAGAAAGUCACAGCAACUAUGUCCUUCUCAUAUACGUAGUUGUGAAAUGUGGCAAUUGUGCACCUGCUGUUCAAAUAGCACAUGCUAUUGUUGCAAGGUCUGUGAGAUUUGGUUUUGUUACAAAUACUUCUCAGCUCAUGAUUGCUGCACUGCUAUAGUUAUGUAACUGUUAUAAGUCUAUGUAUUUUAAUAUGACAAUAUGUUUUGUUGUUGCAGGCAGGGAUUGGAAAUGGAACCCCUGGGCAAAAUGGUCAUCGCCUGUAUUUUAAAAACUAUGUGGUGAAAAUAGUGUUUUGUAGGUUAAUGCACUCUACAUUGUGAGGUGCUGUUGACCCCAAUAAAUUAUUUGUAGCUA
Molecule: non-coding RNA, 3687 nt
Organism: Podarcis muralis (Common wall lizard)
Lineage: Eukaryota; Metazoa; Chordata; Lepidosauria; Squamata; Lacertidae
Source: RefSeq, a predicted model, not a curated record